UCCUUAACUCAUACCGCUGUGCCUGCCUUCUUUCUUUCACAAUUGUGUGAGUUGAGUUCA
This 60-nucleotide microRNA precursor is filed under the name Alligator mississippiensis (American alligator). RNAcentral describes it as "Ami-Mir-1416_pre stem-loop". The record is from RNAcentral. Lineage: Eukaryota; Metazoa; Chordata; Crocodylia; Alligatoridae.